This 265-nucleotide ribosomal RNA is filed under the name uncultured bacterium. RNAcentral's name for it is "partial 16S ribosomal RNA". It matches the Rfam family "Bacterial small subunit ribosomal RNA", at positions 524 to 788 of the family's 1533-position model. The record is from RNAcentral.
UACAGAGGGGGCAAGCGUUGUUCGGAAUUACUGGGCGUAAAGGGCGCGUAGGCGGCCUUCUAAGUCGAACGUGAAAUCCCCGGGCUCAACCCGGGAACUGCGUCCGAUACUGGAAGGCUUGAAUCCGGGAGAGGGAUGCGGAAUUCCAGGUGUAGCGGUGAAAUGCGUAGAUAUCUGGAGGAACACCGGUGGCGAAGGCGGCAUCCUGGACCGGUAUUGACGCUGAGGCGCGAAAAGCCAGGGGAGCAACGGGAUUAGAUGACCC